UGAUGGGGAUGCUGGUCCCUCGUCAGUGCUGCAAGGUAAAAUUUCUUCUCCCAGUAAAUAUCUUGUCGAUUGUGAAACAGAGAUUUCUGUUGGAAAAAAUAGAAUGAACAAGCAAAGUCAAUUGCCUGCAGAAAAUGGGGAUAAUAUUGAAAAUAGACCAUGUUUUGGUCUUGUCUCUGGGGAAACAUAUUCAGGAAUGAAAGUGGGUGGGGGAACUAGUGGAAAAAAUCAAAAUAAGGUGAGAGAUAUUGAUUUCAACAAAUCUAUCAGAAAAAAUGGUAAAAAUUAUGGCGCUGGAUCUAUUAUAGAAUCCAGUCGCAAGGUCGAUCCAGACCUGGUUAGAAGAAGUAUCUCCAUAUCUGAAAAAAUGAAUUGUGCAAAUUAUGUACAAAUUCCAGAUUUCUGGUCAAGUGAUGUUGUACAUCUAGAUAAUAUGGUCAUUGAUAGAUGUCAAGUAUCAAUGCAUGUAGGGAUUACGAGUAGAUAUGGUAUAUCUUCCCCUACUUGGGGUAAAAAGGCGACUGAUAAAGAUGAGCAAAAAAUGGACAAAGCAAAAGGGGAGGCGGGUUUUAGCAAUAUGCUUUCCCAAGCCUUCCUGACUAUAAAUAGUCCGCCUCUCCUCUGUUUUGAGAGAGAGUGCAAUCCCCUUGAGGAUUUAGGGUUUCCCCUUCCCCCGCCGCCACUGGGUGAAAGUGAAGAGAGAGAGAUGAUGAACAGGGGGGCUGGAGGAUAUCAGGGGGGAGAUUCAAUAGGGGAGGGAGGGAAAAUUUCCAGUACAGAAGAAAGGAAGAACUUGAAAGAUUUAGAGAAAAUUACCCCAACUAUGAGAGAGGAAGUGGAAGAUUUGGGUACAGGGAGGAGACAGGGAAAUCUGAUCAACAAGUGGAGGAAGAGAGGAGAGGGAUGGCAGAUCUAAAGCUUCCUUCAAGCUCCAAGGAAGAAUCUGUGAAGAGGAUGGAAGAGGAUCAGAGGGCUAGAGAUCUCGAAGGCAAAGAGGAUGUGGUGAUGCCUUCUCCCUCUUUCGAUCAGAUCCAACAACACCAGUGGUUUGGGGCUCUCAUGGCCUAGAUGGCCCAACAAAAGAUGGAAAGCUCGUCUGGGGGUGGAAUUGUUUUCCCCCCGGAAGCAGUAGAAUUAACCUGUCUGAUGAGACUAAGAAAUAGCUUGCAUGAGGGAAAGAUCCCAUGGAAAAAAGUGAAGCUAUCAUAGAUGUGGGAAUAUGCAAGGGCAGAAAGGAUGGUUUCAGAACAACAGGUUUGGCCAGAGGGAGAGCUUGGAUCAAAACAAAGCUGGUGGGAACUUUAGAGUGUUGUGCAACAAGUGCAAGGACACCAGACAUCUGAUUAGAGAUUGCAAGUUGCCCAAUUUUAUCAUUUGUGGCAAGAACUCUCACAUCACUGAGGAAUGUGCUUGGCUGAAGCAAAUCAAGCCAACCCCCAAAUUUAUUGGAUAUGCAGCUAGAGGUUUAGGAGCGCUGUUGGUUCAAAAUUCUAAAGAAGUUGUUAGUAGUGAACAGACUAACCCUAUGGCCAUUGUGAACAUAUCUUCUGGGGAGAUUAAUGAAACUCAAUUCUUGGAGGGGUUCAACUACUUGUUUAGCUGAAACUGGCAAUGGAGAUGCAAAAAACAUGGAGACAAAGCUUACUUGAUGAGAUUUCCUAGCAAGAGCAAACUGGCAGAACUUCACAAAUUUGGAAAUUUCAAUUUGCUGGGGACCAAUGCUGUGAUUAAUGUGGACAACUAGACUUAUGACACUCAAGCUAUUGGCAAAUUGCACACAGUGUGGGUGCAGUUUGGGAAAAUCCCUGAAUGUUUCAGACAUUUUUUUGGAAUGUGUGAGGUGGCUGCUUCUCUUGUUCCUGUUUUGGAAAUUGAUAUGUCCACUAUUCUGAAAGAGAUAAUCAGGGCUAAAGUGGGAGUCAGAGACUUUGGAAAAAUCCCCCAUCAUACUGAGAUUACUGACAAGGACCUGAUCAUAUAUAGAAUCAACAUUGAGUUGGAAGAGGUGAUCGAACAAGGGUGGUAUGAAGAAAAAAGAAAGUUUGAGAACAUGGAAACUGAACUUGAUGGAACAACUAUGGGAGGUCAGAAAAAAAUCAAGAUUGGUGAGUUGGGAGCUGAUGGGAUCAAGGAAAACAUCUCCAUGGGAAGUGUAGGACUCAAAAAAUUUGAGGAGAUGCAACAAAAAAAUGAGGAGAUAUUGAAGAUGCGGAAAGAUUACUUGCUAGAGGUGGGCUUGAGAAAGAAAGUAGAGGUGGAGCUGGAUAAAGUUCUCAAAAAGUUUCAAGAAGUUGAAGAAAUCAAGUGCAGGAAUGAUGCUUGGAAAGCUGUGGACAAAAAAAAGACUGCUAUUUGGGAAACUGAGAAGAGGAGUCUGCAGGAUAUGAUCCAAGGUCAGCAAGAGUUGAUAAACAAGUGCAGGGAAAAAAUUGAUGCUUGGAAAGAGAAAGAGAUCUAUGGAGAAGAUUUAGGUGAGAAAAAUGAGAUGGAAUCUAAAAUAUCCCAGGAUAACACACCUGAAGAUGCUUAUGUAGAACCUGUGAAUUACUCAGCUAGUCAAGAUUCAGUGGAAUCUCUAGGCACAAAAUUAGGAAUUCACAAGAAGGAGGAGGGAGACAAGGAUAAAUAUAAAGAGGGACCUGCUAGAAGAAGUGAUAGAAACCUGGAUAAAAAAGAUGCUAAAAUAGAAGACCUGGCCAAGGAAAGGGCGGCUGAAAAAGACAAUUAUGGUAAGGAUUCUGUUCUUUGUGAUGAAAAAAUUUCUUUAUAUGAUAUGGCUAACAAGGUUGGAAUUGGUUUGGGAUGUGCACUAGAUAUGGUUGCAUAGAACUAGACCUGAUUUCUACCAUGGAGAGGGCUAGAAGAGAUAUGUAUCUCCAAAAAAUAAUCAAUGAAAAAAGGGGAGAGAAAAAAGAUGACUCUCCAAGUAUUAUUGACAUUGGAGAUGUUGAGUUAGAGGACUUAUGUUCAGAAGGAGAUAAUUUUGAGGAGGAUAUAGAGAUAGAACAUUAUGACAAAUUGAAAAAGAUCUUUUCUAGCAACAGAAAAAUGAGAGGUGGGAUGCCAGCCUUUAGUGUUGGGGAAAAAUCCAUCUUGAGUGGGGGGACUAGAGUGAAAAAUCAUAAAAGGAAAAAAAUGAGAGGCAUGUUCUGGAAUGUCAGAGGGAUUGGGAAGGAUAUUAAAAGAAACUUGAUUAGAGAUACCAUUUUGGAGAAACAAUUAGAUUUUGUUGGACUCCAGGAAACCAUCAAGAGUGACUUCACAAAAAAUGAACUACAUAACCUUGCUGGAGGAAGAAGUUUUCUCUGGGAAUGGAUUGCCCCUAGAGGUAAAUCUGGGGGAAUCUUAGUAGGAGUUAAUAAUGACUGCUUUGAUAUUAUUCAGGUGGAAACAGGGUCACAUUUCAUUAAAAUACAUUUGUUUGAUAAAAUAUCCAAAUUUAGUUGGAAUCUGGUCAUAGUAUAUGGUGAUGCCCCAAAAAAAUGGAAAAGCAGCCUUUUUGGCGGAAUUGUCUAGGUUCUAUAAGAUAAUACACAACCUUGCAUGAUAGGGGGGGAGUUUAACCUGAUCAGGAAUAGUUCACUAAAGAACAAUCCUGGAGGACUAGAUCAUUUUAGUUUUGUUUUCAAUGCUAUCAUUGAGCAUGCUGGACUCAGAGAUCUUCCUUUGAAUGGGAGAAAAUAUACCUGGGCAAACAACCUGCCUGAUCCCACCUAUGAGAAACUCGACAGAAUUUUAAUCUGUCCAGAUUGGGAAGACAAAUACCCCCUGGCUAUGGUGAAUGCCAUGGAAAGGGAAAUUUUCGAUCACACCCCUCUGCUAUUAGACACUGGGGAUCAUAGAAAAAUCUAGCCCAUAUUCAGAUUUGAAAAUGCCUGGAUGCUCAUGGAAGGUUUUAGGGAAUUUGUGGAAAAAAAAUUGGAACAUUAAAUGUAAAGGCUCUAGCCUAGACAUUUGGCAAACAAAACUAAGGAACAUCAGGCAGAAAAUAAGGGUGUGGAUUAUUAAUGCUAAUGCUGCUUACAGAAAAAGAAAAAAAGAUUUACUAGAGUUACUGGAUGAGAUUGACAAAAAAGCUGAAACUAGUGGCCUUAGUGCUCAAGAUGGAGAGAUUCAGAAAAAUUGGAAGAAAGAACUGAAGGACAUUUAUAAGAUGGAAGAAAUUAAAUGGCUAAAAAAUAUAAAGAUAAGGAGAUAAAAGAGGGAGACUCUAAUACUAGGUACUGUCAUGCCAAGGUUAAUGGCAGAAGAAGGAAAAACUGGAUUACUACACUAGAGCAUGAGGGUGAGCCCAUUGAGGGGGAUACCAAACUCAUGGAACAUGUAACCAAUUACUAUAAAACUCUGUUUGGUCCUCAUAUAUCCAAUAUCAAUUUGGAUAUUCAAAACCCUGUGGGGACUUCCACACAGGAAGAAAAUGAUUUGGUUAAACCUUUUAGUUUGGAAGAAUUAGAGAUGUGGUUUUCACUAUGGAAAAAAACAAAAGACCAGGGCCUGAUGGAUUUGCUGUAGACUUUUACCAACAUGUUUGGGAGUUUCUUUAGACAGAUUUGAAAGCUAUUUUAGAUGACUUCCAUAGUGGCAAAGUUGAUCUGGCUAGAUUGAACUAUGGGAUUUUUACCCUAGUUCCAAAAGUUAAAGAUGCUAAACAAAUUCAAAACUUUAGACCAAUUUAUAUUUUAAAUGUCAGUUUCAAGAUUAUCACUAAAAUACUUAUGAACAAACUGAGCAAAGUAGUCAAUCCUAUCAUUUCUCCCAUCCAAACUGCUUUUGUCAAAGGUAGAUAUAUUCUGGAGGGAGUGGUAAUUUUGCAUGAGGCUCUCAAUUCUAUACAAAAUAAAAAGCAAAGUGCUAUGCUGUUCAAAGUUGACUUUGAAAAAGUAUAUGACAAAAUCAAGUGGCCGUUUGUUCAUAAGAUGCUCAAAUUAAAAAACUUCCCUGACAAAUGGUGUGACUGGGUGUUACACACUAUGAGAGGUGGGCAUGUAGGAGUUAAAGUGAAUGAUGACAUAGGACCUUACUUCAAAACCUUUAAGGGGCUAAGACAGGGAGAUUCUUUAUCCCCUCUGCUAUUUGAUCUGGCAGUUGAUGCUCUUGCCAUCAUUUUAGAUAGAGCUAGAGAGGAAGGGUUUGUGAAAGGAGUCCUCACUGAUUACCAUGAAAAUGGGGUCAAUAUGCUGCAAUAUGCAGAUGAUACCAUUUUUUGAUACAAGAUGAUGAAGAUUCUGCCAAAUAUUUAAAAUUUAUUUUAACUGCUUUUGAAUAGAUGUCUGGCUUGACAGUAAAUUUCCAUAAAAGUGAAAUAUUUUUAUUUGGGGGGGGGCAGAGAGAAAAAAGAUUUGUAUCAGGGGAUAUUCACCUGCAUUCUGGGGGAAACCCCCCUGAAAUAUCUUGGCUUGCCUGUAUCUAACAAGAGAAUCAGAAACAAAAUGUGGAAGAAUGUUACUGAUAAAAUUGAGAAAAGAUGUGCCUGCUGGCAGGGUAGACUUCUAAAUAUUGCAGGAAGAGUCACUUUGGUGCAAUCCUGUUUAUCUAAUAUCCCUAUAUACAUGAUGUCUUUUUAUCUCCUGCCAGCUGGAGUUAGAAAAAAGGUGGACUUUACAGAGCUAGGAUGGUGUGGCAAUCAAAAGAAGAGAAAAGAAAAUACCAUCUGGUGAAUUGGAAAACCUAAUGUCUCCCAAAGCAACAAGGAAGCCUGGGGAUGACCAAUAUUGAAAUGUUUAAGAUAGCUCUAUUAGCUAAGUGGUUAUGGAAACUACAGAAUGUUGAGGGCUUUUGGCAGGGGAUUGUUAAAAAAUGCUGGGGAGAAAUAUCUCUCUGGAAUUAAACAUAAAAGUGGGGAUUCCCAAUUUUGGUCUGACAUCUUGAAAAUUAGGAAAUAUUUCUAUCCACAUGUUAAGAAGAAAUUGGGAGAUGGCAGGAACACCAGGUUUUGGGUUGACUGGUGGGUUGGGGAUUAAUCCCUCAAAGAGGCUUACCCCUCUUUGUUUUUCAUUAGUAAUGACCAGGGGAUUAUAGUUAGAGAAGCUAUUGAUAAAGGAUGGGGUGGUUUUACCUUCAGGAGAUCUCUUUAUGGGGAUACUGAGCAACUUUGGAGUAACAUGAGAGCGAGAUGUGAGGAAGUUUUGAUGCAUGGGGGAUAAGCCUAUGUGGAUGUUGACCACUGAUAAAAAAUUCACUGUUAAAUUGCUAUACAGAUAUCUGAUCAAAUCUGACGUAUGGUUCCGUAGGAAAUUCCUGUGGAAAAUUAAAGUUCCUACUAAGAUUAGAUUCUUUCUUUGGCUUUUGGCUAGAAAAAGUAUACUCACUAGAGAUAACUUGCUAAAAAGAGGCUGGAAAGGUGAUAACCAUUGUGUGUUUUGUGGCAAAGAUGAAAUGAUUGAUCAUCUGUUUUUCUCUUGCUCAGUAGCCAGAAUCAUCUGGGCUCUAGUGAGAUGUGCGUUUGAUCUGAAAUGUACUCCUAGAGACCUUAAUGACUGUUUGGGAAAAUGGCUGCAAAAUUUCCAGAAAGAUAGCAAGAAACUUAUACUGGUUGGCGUCUCAGUGCUGUUGUGGGCGAUCUGGAGAUGUAGAAAUGACAUUGUGUUUGAUAGAAAAAUGAUUUCUGGCCCAAUGGGAAUUGUGAAAAUGAUGUGUGGGUGGAUUUCUGACUGGGCUGUUUUGCAGAAAAGGUGCCCAGGGGAAAGAAUGUUGAUGCUGGGAGAAAAACUCAUCAUGCAAGUAGCAAGUGAUGUCUACAAGGCUGGCAUUUUGGAGUACUUCGAAUCUAGCAAUGACGGGGGUAAAAAAAGACUUCUACUUUUGGUGCUUCGACGAAGUGAAGUGAAGUGGAAGAUCUGCGUAUGAGGCUAAUCUUUUGUGCCUACCUUUGUUGUUGUGUUAUCUUAUGUAGUUUCCUGUUUUGGCCUUGUUAUGAUGUGAGACUUCUCUGAAAUGUAAUAGGGCUAGAUCUUAUCCGCAGUGAUUUCGACAACAUGUUUGGAUACUUUGCAUGUUGGUUUCUCUAAUGGAAAUCGGAGGGGAAAC
Molecule: long non-coding RNA, 7026 nt
Filed under: Triticum aestivum (bread wheat)
Lineage: Eukaryota; Viridiplantae; Streptophyta; Magnoliopsida; Poales; Poaceae
Description: long non-coding RNA (TAES_LNC007572)
Source: RNAcentral